CUCCCCGUGGCGCAAUGGUAGCGCGCAAGACUUCUAAUCUUGAGGCUGCGGGUUCGAGUCCCGCCGGGGAGU
Molecule: non-coding RNA, 72 nt
Organism: Plectosphaerella cucumerina
Lineage: Eukaryota; Fungi; Ascomycota; Sordariomycetes; Glomerellales; Plectosphaerellaceae
Source: the annotation of a GenBank genome assembly